GCAACGAUUGCUUGAACCGUUGUCAUAAAGCCACCUAUGUCAACACAUAAUUGACAAAAAAAAAAAGCUAUUGCAUCGGUUGUGAUUUAUUCUCUCCCAAAUUUUUCACAAAAUCCGCCAAAGAUUAAAGAAAUGUAUAACCAAAAUUAAAUAAAUAUAUAACAAAAAAAUUUCACUCUCAGUCGACAACCGGUACUCUUGUGCCGACUGCCAAUGCUCCGACCACUAGUGCUCCGACUUUCAAUCUGACUAUCGCUUUGACCACAAGUGCUCCGACCACAAAUCAGUCACUACCAUUAGCCCGAUUUACAAUAGCCCAAUUUACAAGCAUAAAGAAGCUUUCGAUUGAACCCUCUAGGCGUCUAUAAAAACAGGCCGGUGUUGAUUAGUUCAGCGACGAAGUAAGAAAUAUCACGUUAUUUGAUCUCUCUGCAACAUUUUACUUUCAAUUUUCGUCGUUAGAUCUGGGGAUUUGUUACUGUCCGGUCUGAUUUUUCAAUCAUUUGUUUAUCAAAUCUGUACGAGGAUCCGAGCGAUUCACGAUUGGUUUUGAUGUUUUAUGCUGUAAUUUUAGUGAAUUUGUACAGUUUAUGUUGAAUUUAAUUGUUUUCAGAGUUUAUAGAAUUGUCAAUGACUAAGAUCCCAGCAAUUUGCGUGUAUUUUCACCGUUCUAUGUUGUAAUUUUAGUGAAUUUGUAUAGUGUACAUCGUACUUCAUCAUUUAUAGAUUUUAUGGCAUUAUCGAUGCCUAUGGACUGAAUGUGUUUUAAUUCUGUAUA
RNAcentral lists this long non-coding RNA (778 nucleotides) under Capsicum annuum. Its description in RNAcentral is "long non-coding RNA (CANN_LNC017796)". Lineage: Eukaryota; Viridiplantae; Streptophyta; Magnoliopsida; Solanales; Solanaceae. The record is from RNAcentral.